Arachis duranensis is the source of this 738-nucleotide long non-coding RNA. RefSeq lists it as uncharacterized. The record is from RefSeq and is a predicted model, not a curated record. NCBI's taxonomy places the organism in Eukaryota, Viridiplantae, Streptophyta, Magnoliopsida, Fabales, Fabaceae. The transcript has 3 exons.
AGUCUCAAGCAAUGGAAGUUGCAAAGUUGAUUAAGGAUGAAGAUGGUGUUACUGCAGCGAUUGAUGCGUUUCACCGGCAUCUACCUUCUGAGCUACUGCUUCCAACACCAUCUCCGGUGGAGGAUCACCCAAAUGCUUUGCAGUGGUUUUUUCUUCAAAUAUCCAAGUGGUGUUAUGUGCCUUGUGGUGGUGUAUAAUGUUUUUUUCCCCACUAAGUAAAGCAUUUUCUUUUAUUCAUUUUAUAGCAAUGGACAUAUUUUUAGCUGUGCGUGCCUGUAUAGCUUAAACUACAUAUGUACUCAUUACCAAAUUUUACAAGUUCUCAUUGUUUUGUAUGAGACAUUUCGAAUGUAUUCGUCAAAGUUUAGCUCUAGUGGCUCUCGUGACCUCCUUAUCUGUGAUGAGGCUCACAGACUAAAGAAUGAUUAGACGAUAACAAACAGGGUACUGUACAAAAUUUUUCCGAUUUAAAGGCAUGUUUCUGACUUUUGUUCAAGGCACCUUGAGGGCUGUGAUUCUGAGUUUCUCACCUGUACUUUGUGAAUCAGGCAUUGGCAGCUCUUCCAUGUAAACGUAGAAUUCUAUUGUCAGGAACUCCUUUAAUGACUUGGAGGAAUUCUGUGGAAGUUGAGGCUGAGAAACUACUAAGAUGCAUGGAAUGAAUAUUAUCAACAGUGUCAGACUUUUAUGAUACUUAGCAGAGGCUGAGCAAGACAGAAACCAGUGAUGGAUUGUUUG